Molecule: long non-coding RNA, 286 nt
Organism: Passer domesticus (house sparrow)
Lineage: Eukaryota; Metazoa; Chordata; Aves; Passeriformes; Passeridae
Exons: 3
Source: RefSeq, a predicted model, not a curated record
CUAAGGACUGCACAAUACAGUGAAGGACUGAUCAUGGCACCAAUGCUGAUGAGAACAGCUGGAAAAGGCAGCCCAUUGGACAAGUCUCUGCUUUUCUUCACUGGAUACAGAGAAGACAGGCCCAAGACUUUUCUCAGAAGCUCAUUGUGAAAGGAUGAGAGGCAAAAGACAAGUUGUAACAAGAAACAGUAAGAUCAGGAGCAAGAGAGAGGGAACAAGACUCACCUACUACCAGAACCUCCAGAAGAAACCUGUGAAUACUCUUCACAUUAAAAGUGCCCCUGUG